This 837-nucleotide ribosomal RNA is filed under the name uncultured Alphaproteobacteria bacterium. RNAcentral's name for it is "bacterial SSU rRNA". It matches the Rfam family "Bacterial small subunit ribosomal RNA", at positions 22 to 907 of the family's 1533-position model. Lineage: Bacteria; Pseudomonadati; Pseudomonadota; Alphaproteobacteria. The record is from RNAcentral.
GCUCAGAACGUACGCUGGCGGCACGCCUAACACAUGCAAGUCGAACGAAGUAGCAAUACUUAGUGGCAGACGGGUGAGUAACAUGUAGGUAUCUGCCCUUUGGCCUGGAAUAACACGAGGAAACUUGUGCUAAUACCGGAUAAGUCUUUACGGAGAAAGCUUUAUGCACCAUUGGAUGAGCCUGCACUUGAUUAGUUUGUUGGUAGGGUAAUGGCCUACCAAGACUGUGAUCAAUAGCUGAUUUGAGAGGAUGAUCAGCCACAUUGGGACUGAGACACGGCCCAAACUCCUACGGGAGGCAGCAGUGGGGAAUCUUGCACAAUGGAGGAAACUCUGAUGCAGCGAUGCCGCGUGAGUGAAGAAGGCCUUUGGGUUGUAAAGCUCUUUCGUCGGGGAAGAAAAUGACUGUACCCGAAUAAGAAGGUCCGGCUAACUUCGUGCCAGCAGCCGCGGUAAUACGAAGGGACCUAGCGUAGUUCGGAAUUACUGGGCUUAAAGAGUUCGUAGGUGGUUGAAAAAGUUGGUGGUGAAAUCCCAGAGCUUAACUCUGGAACUGCCAUCAAAACUUUUCAGCUAGAGUAUGAUAGAGGAAAGCAGAAUUUCUAGUGUAGAGGUGAAAUUCGUAGAUAUUAGAAAGAAUACCAAUUGCGAAGGCAGCUUUCUGGAUCAUUACUGACACUGAGGAACGAAAGCAUGGGUAGCGAAGAGGAUUAGAUACCCUCGUAGUCCAUGCCGUAAACGAUGUGUGUUAGACGUUGGAAAUUUAUUUUCAGUGUCGCAGCGAAAGCGAUAAACACACCGCCUGGGGAGUACGACCGCAAGGUUAAAACUCAAAUG